GACGAACGCUGGCGGCGUGCUUAACACAUGCCAGUCGAACGGAAAGGCCUGCUUUCCCUUGUGGAUUGCGGGUACUCGAGUGGCGAACGGGUGAGUAACACGUGAGUGAUCUGCCCCCAACUUGGGUAUAAGCCUGGGAAACUGGGUCUAAUUCCCGAUAGGACUGCAGGGUGGUGCCUGUGGUGGAAAACGAUUUUCUAGUGGUUGGGGAUGAGCUCGCGGCCUAUCAGCUUGUUGGUGGGGUAAUGGCCUACCAAGGCGGCGACGGGUAGCCGGCCUGAGAGGGUGGACGGCGACAGUGGGACUGAGAAGCGGCCCAGACUCCUACGCGAGGCAGCAGUGGGGAAGAGUGGACGAUGGGCGGAAGCCUGAAGCAGCGACGCCGCGCGGGGGAUGACGGGCUGCGGGUGGUAAGCUCCUUUCGACGGCGAGGAAGCCACCUGGUUGGAAGGGUGGUGACGGUAGUGGUAGAAGAAGCACCGGCUAACUACGUG
Molecule: ribosomal RNA, 494 nt
Filed under: uncultured bacterium
Lineage: Bacteria
Description: partial 16S ribosomal RNA
Rfam family: Bacterial small subunit ribosomal RNA
Source: RNAcentral